This 569-nucleotide ribosomal RNA is filed under the name Saccharomyces cerevisiae (brewer's yeast). Its description in RNAcentral is "partial large subunit ribosomal RNA". It matches the Rfam family "Eukaryotic large subunit ribosomal RNA", at positions 73 to 649 of the family's 3401-position model. The record is from RNAcentral. Lineage: Eukaryota; Fungi; Ascomycota; Saccharomycetes; Saccharomycetales; Saccharomycetaceae.
UUGUCUUUAGUACGGCGAGUGAGCGGCAAAAGCUCAAAUUUGAAAUCUGGUGAAAUCUGGUACCUUCGGUGCCCGAGUUGUAAUUUGGAGAGGGCAACUUUGGGGCCGUUCCUUGUCUAUGUUCCUUGGAACAGGACGUCAUAGAGGGUGAGAAUCCCGUGUGGCGAGGAGUGCGGUUCUUUGUAAAGUGCCUUCGAAGAGUCGAGUUGUUUGGGAAUGCAGCUCUAAGUGGGUGGUAAAUUCCAUCUAAAGCUAAAUAUUGGCGAGAGACCGAUAGCGAACAAGUACAGUGAUGGAAAGAUGAAAAGAACUUUGAAAAGAGAGUGAAAAAGUACGUGAAAUUGUUGAAAGGGAAGGGCAUUUGAUCAGACAUGGUGUUUUGUGCCCUCUGCUCCUUGUGGGUAGGGGAAUCUCGCAUUUCACUGGGCCAGCAUCAGUUUUGGUGGCAGGAUAAAUCCAUAGGAAUGUAGCUUGCCUCGGUAAGUAUUAUAGCCUGUGGGAAUACUGCCAGCUGGGACUGAGGACUGCGACGUAAGUCAAGGAUGCUGGCAUAAUGGUUAUAUGCCGCC